RNAcentral lists this ribosomal RNA (452 nucleotides) under uncultured bacterium. RNAcentral's name for it is "bacterial SSU rRNA". It matches the Rfam family "Bacterial small subunit ribosomal RNA", at positions 353 to 798 of the family's 1533-position model. The record is from RNAcentral.
AUUGGGGAAUUUUCCGCAAUGGGCGCAAGCCUGACGGAGCGACGCCGCGUGGAGGACGAAGGCCCUCGGGUUGUAAACUCCUGUCACGGAUUAUGAAUGGCGUAGAGUCAAUAGCUCUGCGAUUGACGUAAGUCCGAGAGGAAGCACUGGCUAACUCUGUGCCAGCAGCCGCGGUAAUACAGAGAGUGCAAACGUUGUUCGGAAUCACUGGGCUUAAAGAGCACGUAGGCGGCGCUGUCAGCGUGAGGUGAAAUCCCACGGCUCACCCGUGGAACUGCCUUGCAUACUGCAGCGCUAGAGUAUGGUAGGGGAGAGCGGAACUCCUGGUGGAGCGGUGAAAUGCGUAGAUAUCAGGAGGAACACCGGUGGCGAAGGCGGCUCUCUGGUCCAUAACUGACGCUGAGGUGCGAAAGCUAGGGUAGCGAAAGGGAUUAGAUACCCCUGUAGUCAAU